Molecule: ribosomal RNA, 588 nt
Filed under: uncultured bacterium
Lineage: Bacteria
Description: partial 16S ribosomal RNA
Rfam family: Bacterial small subunit ribosomal RNA
Source: RNAcentral
UGGGGAAUCGUUCCGCAAUGGACGAAAGUCUGACGGAGCAACGCCGCGUGUAUGAUGAAGGUCUUCGGAUUGUAAAGUACUGUCAUUGGGGAAGAACGGUUUUCUUGAAAAGAUUGAGAAGACAUGACGGUACCCAAGGAGGAAGCCCCGGCUAACUACGUGCCAGCAGCCGCGGUAAUACGUAGGGGGCAAGCGUUGUCCGGAAUUAUUGGGCGUAAAGGGCGCGUAGGCGGGCCUUUAAGUCCGGUGUGAAAGAUCAGGGCUCAACCCUGAGAGUGCAUCGGAAACUGGAGGCCUUGAGGACAGGAGAGGAAAGUGGAAUUCCACGUGUAGCGGUGAAAUGCGUAGAUAUGUGGAGGAACACCAGUGGCGAAGGCGACUUUCUGGACUGUAACUGACGCUGAGGCGCGAAAGCGUGGGGAGCAAACAGGAUUAGAUACCCUGGUAGUCCACGCCGUAAACGAUGAGUGCUAGGUGUAGAGGGUAUCGACCCCCUUCUGUGCCGCAGUUAACACAAUAAGGCACUCCCGCCUGGGGGAGUACGGCCGCAAGGUUUGAAACUCAAAUGAAUUGACGGGGUCAUAGCUG